This 555-nucleotide ribosomal RNA is filed under the name uncultured bacterium. RNAcentral's name for it is "bacterial SSU rRNA". It matches the Rfam family "Bacterial small subunit ribosomal RNA", at positions 372 to 918 of the family's 1533-position model. The record is from RNAcentral.
UGGGCGAAAGCCUGAUCCAGCAAUGCCGCGUGUGUGAAGAAGGCCCUAGGGUUGUAAAGCACUUUCAGUGGGGAGGAAGGGUUUAAUGUUAAUACCAUUGAACAUUGACGUUACCCACAGAAGAAGCACCGGCUAACUCUGUGCCAGCAGCCGCGGUAAUACAGAGGGUGCGAGCGUUAAUCGGAAUUACUGGGCGUAAAGCGUGUGUAGGUGGUUGGUUAAGUUAGAUGUGAAAGCCCCGGGCUCAACCUGGGAAUUGCGUUUAAAACUGGCCGGCUAGAGUACUGUAGAGGAUAGUGGAAUUUCCAGUGUAGCGGUGAAAUGCGUAGAUAUUGGAAGGAACACCAGUGGCGAAGGCGACUGUCUGGACAGAUACUGACACUGAGACACGAAAGCGUGGGGAGCAAACAGGAUUAGAUACCCUGGUAGUCCACGCCGUAAACGAUGAGAACUUGCUGUUGGGUGCAUAAAGGCACUUAGUAGCGGAGCUAACGCGUUAAGUUCUCCGCCUGGGGAGUACGGCCGCAAGGCUAAAACUCAAAGGAAUUGACGGGG